Molecule: long non-coding RNA, 2288 nt
Organism: Rattus rattus (black rat)
Lineage: Eukaryota; Metazoa; Chordata; Mammalia; Rodentia; Muridae
Exons: 2
Source: RefSeq, a predicted model, not a curated record
CGGAGGUGGGAAGGCAGGUGAAGAAAUCUCUCUCUAGAGUCUUUAGUUCCUCCAGCCACUUAGACCUCAGAGCUAUGCCCUCUAACCCCUAAGGAAUACCUCAGGAAGGAGAAUGUCUAAACUUGGCUUUGGCUUCUUGGAUUGUGCAGUUUGGAACAAACCUUGAGAUUCACAGACAGACGGUGGCCUUGGAUGUUCUCAACAGGAACCAGGAAACGCCUGAUUAAAACAAAUCCAAAAAGCCCAUCUGUGCUCGGCUGAGGUAGAGCACACCUGAAAUCCUAGCAUUCACUGAGAGGCCAAGAGAAAAUCCAGAGACCGCUCACUCAACACCGCAAGUGGAACGAAACGAAAGAAGGCAAUGGAGUGUCUAAAUUUAAAGUGCUGGAAAAUCCAACAUUUUAUUCACUACAUUUCGGUGACUACACAAAUGCGGAAACAUCGUAACACUGGGAGCGUGAUGACAUCACCACUUGCUUUUUUUUUUUUUGUCUUUUUCUUUUUCUUUUUCUUUAGCAAACACAGCAGAUGAUAUUGCACGGCAUAAAGUGAGAACAGUAUCGAAGCUCAAAAAAGGAAAAGAAAAAAAGGGGGAAAAAAAAGGAAGAGGAAAGAAAGAAACGUUAACGCAGUACAAACCAGAAGAAUGCCUAACACACGACACAUUUUUGUCGCUACGCACGAAAAAUACAGAAGAAGCAUCGACAGAGAAAGACGAGGUAUCGGCAAACGACCAUACUGGGUACAAUAAUAAUUUCAUCUGAUGUGUUGAUGCAGUGUAGAAACUACCACCAUUUUCUAAUUGACAAAGAAAAGGACAGUAACGUUUGUCUCUUAUCAGAAAUCUUCUAAGCCCCUCGUGGUUAGGUGUGUAGUUAAUGAAUCAUGUAUUUACCUUUUCGUUGAUUUCUUUAUUUGUUGCUACGGAAGAACUCCCCCUGCCCUUGGAAGGUUUUCUAUCCUACUGAUCUUUUCUUUAAUUUUUUUUACCUGAUGAUUGUCUUAGGCAUCCUCCUUACAUAACGAAUCAUCAAGCUAACUUGAACAGGGAAACUGAGUCACACUCUUAAAAUAGCUGAGCUCAAAAAUGUGCUGAAAACAGAAAAGGGGGCGGGGAGGGACAGGUCUUAGUGAGUGACAGACGGGCUGGUUCUGACUGGACAGCAAAAGAGGAGGGCGAGGCAUAGGACAACAACUAGCAAAACAAGUGGAAGGUGAUGUUUUAAAGUUUAUUAUUACUUUUUUAGACUGUCAGUUGGUUCAGAUGGCAAAUCUAAAAUGAGCCCACAAUGAUUAUGUAAUAAAUGCAGAACAUACUAUAUAUAUAUUUAAAAAAAAAAAAACCUUUCAACACUAACACAGAAGUAGAAAAUGUGACCUUGUAAAGAAUUCUGCUUUGAGCUUCAUUGCCAAUCGUUUCUCUCAAAGCCUUUCCUCAGCUCCCUGACUCGGCUCAGGGCAGACUUAUUACCCUAUUCCCAUAUAUAAUCAGUAUAAAAUUGUUCCUGUUGACCCAAAACCUACACCCCCCUCCCUUCUCCUUUCCCACCCCAAACACGCCUGUAAAAGUGUAGAAGGGCAAAUGCCUGUGUUGAGAGGAAUGGUGUAUACAUCGAUGGGUCUAUGCAGCUUAGGCCAGUAAUGCUGAGAGGUGGCUCCUGGAAGGUGGCCCUGGUCCUUGAGGGUCCUGUGUGUGCUGAUCAAGAACCGGACCUGCCUGGCCAAGGCUCAUGUCUGUCUGUGAGGUGGAGAGUGAGAAGACACACAUUCAAAUAGCUCUGGGAUGCACUAUUUCUCCCCAAGACCAUUAGAGUCCUUCCCAUUUGGGUAAGGCAAGGAUGGGGCAGCUAUGGGGAGCAGAGGUGUGCUGUUCUUAAGCGUAUUUCCUGGAUCAGGGUGAUCAUUGAGCUAAGUGAAUUUCUUUUGCUUCUUGCCUGUGCUGCUGGGGACUGGUGGGAGUGUCCAGUCCCGUCUUUCUUUCAAAGACAGCUUGGUGGAUAGGCUGCCUUCCACCCGGAAAUGCAGAAACAAGGACGGUUGAGAAGUGUUUCCAGAUUCAAGUUAGCUUGUCUCUUUGGGUUUUUAGACUUUGACUUCUACCCAUGCUUGGAGAGUUAAAAAACAAACAAAUAAAAGCAGUGGUGGAACAAAAUAUCCCACAAACACAGGUGCAGUGAGACACUUGGGAAAAGGUCUUAACCAGUUUGAAAUGUCAGGUCUUACCUGCAAAGUGAUAUUUUUUUUCCCUAAAAAAACCCCACAUAAUAAUAAAUUAAAGGAAAACCACA